RNAcentral lists this ribosomal RNA (254 nucleotides) under uncultured bacterium. RNAcentral describes it as "partial 16S ribosomal RNA". It matches the Rfam family "Bacterial small subunit ribosomal RNA", at positions 524 to 776 of the family's 1533-position model. The record is from RNAcentral.
GACGUAGGGUCCAAGCGUUGUCCGGAUUUACUGGGCGUAAAGAGCGCGUAGGCGGCUCGGUAAGUGUGACGUGAAAUCUCCAGGGCUCAACCCGGAAACUGCUUUACAUACUGUCGAGCUGGAGUGAUGAAGAGGUUUGUGGAAUUCCUGGUGUAGCGGUGAAAUGCGUUGAUAUCAGGAGGAACACCCAUGGCGAAGGCAGCAAACUGGUCAUCAACUGACGCUGAGGCGCGAAAGCGUGGGUAGCAAACAGG